This 777-nucleotide ribosomal RNA is filed under the name Bacteroidetes bacterium KILT1. Its description in RNAcentral is "bacterial SSU rRNA". It matches the Rfam family "Bacterial small subunit ribosomal RNA", at positions 39 to 818 of the family's 1533-position model. Lineage: Bacteria; Pseudomonadati; Bacteroidota. The record is from RNAcentral.
GCGGCAGGCUUAACACAUGCAGUCGAGGGGUAUAGUUCUUCGGAACUAGAGACCGGCGCACGGGUGCGUAACGCGUAUGCAAUCUACCUUUUACAGAGGGAUAGCCCAGAGAAAUUUGGAUUAAUACCUCAUAGUAUAAUGACUCGGCAUCGAGAUAUUAUUAAAGUCACAACGGUAAAAGAUGAGCAUGCGUCCCAUUAGCUAGUUGGUAAGGUAACGGCUUACCAAGGCUACGAUGGGUAGGGGUCCUGAGAGGGAGAUCCCCCACACUGGUACUGAGACACGGACCAGACUCCUACGGGAGGCAGCAGUGAGGAAUAUUGGACAAUGGGCGCAAGCCUGAUCCAGCCAUGCCGCGUGCAGGAUGACGGUCCUAUGGAUUGUAAACUGCUUUUAUACGAGAAGAAACACUACUUCGUGAAGUAGCUUGACGGUAUCGUAAGAAUAAGGAUCGGCUAACUCCGUGCCAGCAGCCGCGGUAAUACGGAGGAUCCAAGCGUUAUCCGGAAUCAUUGGGUUUAAAGGGUCCGUAGGCGGUUUAAUAAGUCAGUGGUGAAAGCCCAUCGCUCAACGGUGGAACGGCCAUUGAUACUGUUAAACUUGAAUUAUUAGGAAGUAACUAGAAUAUGUAGUGUAGCGGUGAAAUGCUUAGAGAUUACAUGGAAUACCAAUUGCGAAGGCAGGUUACUACUAAUUGAUUGACGCUGAUGGACGAAAGCGUGGGUAGCGAACAGGAUUAGAUACACUGGUAUUCCACGCCGUAAACGAUGGAUACUA